AUGAACGCUGGCGGCGUGCCUAAUACCUGCAAGUCGAGCGAACGGACGAGAAGCUUGCUUCUCUGAUGUUAGCGGCGGACGGGUGAGUAACACGUGGAUAACCUACCUAUAAGACUGGGAUAACUUCGGGAAACCGGAGCUAAUACCGGAUAAUAUUUUGAACCGCAUGGUUCAAAAGUGAAAGACGGUCUUGCUGUCACUUAUAGAUGGAUCCGCGCUGCAUUAGCUAGUUGGUAAGGUAACGGCUUACCAAGGUAACGAUGCAUAGCCGACCUGAGAGGGUGAUCGGCCACACUGGAACUGAGACACGGUCCAGACUCCUACGGGAGGCAGCAGUAGGGAAUCUUCCGCAAUGGGCGAAAGCCUGACGGAGCAACGCCGCGUGAGUGAUGAAGGUCUUCGGAUCGUAAAACUCUGUUAUUAGGGAAGAACAUAUGUGUAAGUAACUGUGCACAUCUUGACGGUACCUAAUCAGAAAGCCACGGCUAACUACGUG
RNAcentral lists this ribosomal RNA (496 nucleotides) under uncultured bacterium. Its description in RNAcentral is "partial 16S ribosomal RNA". It matches the Rfam family "Bacterial small subunit ribosomal RNA", at positions 29 to 507 of the family's 1533-position model. The record is from RNAcentral.